UUGGUGUUCUUGAGCUUGUUGCCGGAAAAGUUUGAAUUUUGGCCGGAAAAUGGGUUCCGCUAAAUCUGGGCAGUAGUGGUAUAUAUGAAUAGAAAGAGGAGAGAAAGGGGAGUAUGCUGGUGUGCUUGGUUUGAGCGGAGGUGGCUCGAAUCGCCGCCAUCGGCGGCGGGAAGUCGCCGACUUCGGCCGGAUUUUCCGGCGAAUUCGCGCGACUUCUGCCUAAUUAAAGAUGGGGGAUUGAUUUAUGGGUGUGUGUACUACUGAUCUGGAGUAGAUGGUGAGUGGAGGACGCCUGGAAACGAAUUUCCGGCGAGUUAGUGUGGUGGCCGGCGGCUUAUUGCUGUUUGGUCACCGAAGUUUUGAAGAUGAUGAAGUUUUUGUACUCAGGUUUUGAAACUUAUGAAUUACCCCCUGUAACUUUGAAAAGUUGCACUUUAAACCCUGGACAAAACUUUCAAAAGUUUACAAAAUAAACCUUUUGAUUUAAUUUUCUAAAAUUGUUUUAUUUAAUUAUUUUAAAUUCCAAAAAUAGUUUUUAAUUAUUUCUUUAUUCAAAAAUAAAUCUAAAUUAGUUUAUUAAUUAAUUUUAAUUAGUAAUUAAUUAUUUUAAUUGGUCAAUUAAUUUAAAUAUUAAUUGAUUAAUUAUUUUAAUUAAUUAUUAAUUGAUUUUAAUUGAUUAAUUAAUUGGAUUUAAUUAAUCCUUUUUGAUUUAAAAAUUCCGAAAAAUAGUUUCGAGCUUUAAAAUAUUUUUCCAAAUUAUUUUCAAGGCUCGAUAAUUGUUUAUGAAUGAUUUCAAGUCCAAUUUCAAGUAUUUGGGACUUGAUUAUUUAUUCGAAAAGUGAUUCUUUUAUCGAUUUUAAUUCCGAAAAAUGUUUAAAAAUUCUGGAAAAUUCCCGAAAAAUCAUUUUUAACCCAAGACUUGAUUUAAUAUCAAUUGGGAUGGGAAACCUUAUGUGUUGUGUGUUGUCUGCUAUUGGUUGGAUGUGUUAUGUGCCGAUAGGAGAGUGAGAAAACUGUUUUGAGCAUAACUUUUGAUCCGUAAGUCGGAAUCAAGUGAAACGAAAGAGAGACAGAAGCUUAUAACGUCUAUUUUAAUAUGAUGUGACUAUAUGGCUGAGUCUAUAAGGUGAAUAAUUGUUGAUAAGUAUGCAUAAUGUGAUAAUAUGUGAUCUAAGUGCUAUCAGGUGAUGAUUAUGUGAAGUACGUGUUAGUUUUGAUAUUGUGAAGUGAUAAAUGAUUCGUAUGAUUGAUAUUGGAUAAGAAUAUAUGGAUUAUAGCUAUUGGAUUUUGUUGGUUGAUUAAUGAUUGAGAUAGGAUAAUAGGUGGAUAGUCUUAUACAUAGACGAGACGAUGUCGGAUUUUCGAUAAGGAUUUAUAUGAUAAUUGAUUGGUGAUAUGUUAUGUGGAAUAUGAUUGACUAUAUGUUAGAGUCAAAGCAUGCUUAUGUGUUACGUGGUAUCUGAUAAGUUUAAAGGGAUAUAUAAGUGGGUAUCGAUAUACGUGAGAUGUAUAUGCGAUCGAUUGUUUAGUGAUUAUAGUGUUAUCUUAUUCUCGUAAAGGAUUUGGACGAGACGUGUAUGCCCGAAGACGUUCAGAAAGUCACGUGGUGUUACAAAGCGAAUAAGGGAUGAAUCGAGUAAGCGAAGCGAAGAUGUACGGUAGAUAGAGUAUAGCCAGAGAUGGUCUAGAGACUAUGAGAUGCAUAGAUUGUGAAAGUGGAAAGAUGAGAUUGAGAUGUGAGACUGGAGUCAGAUUUAAGGCAAGUAUCCUAAACCUUUCUCUUGGAUAUAUUGCAAAUAUUCUGAUCCAUUCCUUUGGUAUAUGUUUCAAGUAUUCAUACCUUUCUUUUCAAUGUUCGAAAGUGCGAGUAUUCUGACCCAUUCUUUCUAAUCUUCAAGUUUCUAAAGAAUUUCCGUUUUACAAAUUAAUUCGAAGUUCAGAUUGUCAUUGAAGCAUGUGUUGCUCAGUGAUAGUUAGAGCUUUGAAUGAAUUGGGAUCUUCUUGAUUAUUCAACCCGCCAUUGUCAUGCUGGUUUAGCAGGCUAAAUUCAGUUGCUUAGCCGAUAAUGGAGGAUACUGAAUAGUUGAGGAUUUCCUGAACUGUGAUUUAUGAAAUGAUGGAUCAUGAUUUAUGAAUAGAUUAUUAUCAAAGUUUGAAUUGGAAUUAUUCUGUUGUUGAUGAUAUUUAUGAUGAUGUUCUGUUAAUUUACAUUGGCUUCUUGAAUUGAAUUAGAGAAUUGGAUUAUUGUUUUUAUAUAAACCUGUGGACCAGAUUCGUGGUCAUGUUAGGCCAAUGAGUGCCUUGGAUCCAGUGAUAGAGCAUGGCGGGGCCUGCUCGGGGUUAGUGCGGAACUGAUCAGCUGCCUAACCUUGGUUUUAAUUAAAAUGUGAUAGUCCAAUUCAAUAAUUCUUUGGAAAGAUUGAAUUUCUCAGUUUAAAUGCUGCAAGGUAUUGUAAAUUAUUCUAUACAAUACCAUGAACUCAUGAACUCAGGUUGAAUCCUUUUAUAUCUUGAACUCGUGAACUUCUAUUAUAUCAUUUCAGAACUAUCAUUGUUUAUUAUUACUUGCUGAGCAUUGUUGCUCACCCUUGCUAUUCCUUUCUAACCAUUUCAGAAAGGCUUAAAGAUGAGAUGAUGGAUUGAGAUUGUGAAUAAGGCUAAUGCUAGGCGAGGAGACAGAGUUGAGGAUCCAGUGGUCGAGGAGUGUUCAGGAAAGUUGAUGAGGUUGGUGCAAGCUGGAAUAGUUGACAGUGAUUCUUCUUAUCGAAGAUGAUCUGAUUUGGUAAGAGAUGUUGUGUAAUAAUAGUGGUAGAUUCUAAUUUCAAUACUGUAACCUGGAAGCGAUCCUGUUGUUUUGGGGGUGAAGAUGUUCUCUUUUAAAUCUUUUAUUUAACGUCUUUCAAAUCUUUUAUUAAAUGUUUUCAAGUUUUAAAUUCUCUGAAUUUCACGUUUUAAAUUCUUUUGGGUUUAAUUAUCUUUAAUAAUAAAAAAAAAAAAUAUACAGGAUUUCAAAAGUGUUUAAAAAUAGGUUUUAUGUGGUGACGUCAGAAUCCAGACCCCCGGAUUCCUGGACUGUCACAGUUGGUAUCAGAGCGACAGGUUACAAGUUAUUGAAAUUUGAAUAUAGAUUAUAGUCUUAAGUUUUCUAGAGAAGAAUGUUGUGUGACCUCAUAUAGAGGUAUUGUGAGACUAUGUAGAAAUAGUAUAGAGAUGUGAUAGAGGUGUAGAAUCUGGUUGGACGAUCAAGUUGAGUGUAGAAGUUUAGAGAGAUUUUGAUUCUUAAGUUUAGACAUAGGAUUUCUAGUUUGUUGACAAAUUGAGAUGAUGAAUUGUGUGAAAGGUCAAGAUUAGACCUAGAUAGAAGAGUUUGAUAGUAAAUGAUUGAGUUGAGAAUGGUGAAAAUGCAGAGUUCAGAGUAUUCUGACUAUACUGCAUAGCUGAAAAUGGUCCAGUGUAUUGAUUUGAGAAUGAUAAAGAUGCAUGGUUCAUAGUAUGUUGACCAUGUCAGAUAUUUGGAAGAUGUAUAUGAUUUUAGUGAUAUAUGAAGAGUUAGUGUAGAAUAUGAGUUGUGUUGAAUCAGAAGGAGAGAUUUGUAGAUAGAGGUUGAUAGAUGAGAAGUGCAUGAUAGAGAGUAAGUGAAGUUGAUUCAGGUUAUUAGAAGCGAUAUUUGCGAGUAAUUUAGAAUGUUAAUUCUCACGACGACGUUUUAAGUUAAGCGGGACAAGGUGGGCCCAUAACCCACAGGGCGACAAUUCAGAAAAUCGAAGAUAUGCUACGUGUUGUGCUAUGGACUUCAAAGGCAACUGGAUGAAGCAUGAGAACGUGAACUACUUGGGCCAGACUUAUUACGAACGAUAACGUCUAUGAUGACAUUUUACGAAGCUAUUGCGAGUCAAAUCGAUUGAUUAUCAAGAACGUUGAAAAGAAAACAUAUAUCGAACAAUGAUUUAUUGAAGUAGAGUCGGAAUCUGAGAAGACCUUGGCAAUACCUCUUUUCAACUAAAGAUUCUUUUGAUUGUUUUCUCAUCAGUGAGAUAUUAUCAUGAUAUCUUUUCUACAAAAGUUUUGAUAAAUGAGAUCUUUAAUUUCUCAAAUUCUAAGAUGACAUUGAUAUUGAUUAUUGGUAUGAGUUGGAAAGCAAAGAUGUGUGGUGAAGGUUGUUGUGAAGAGAUAGUGAUGUUCCUUGAUAUUGUUUGAUAUUUCUUGACAUUCCUUGAUAUUCUUUCAUCAUCCUUGAUAUCCCUUGAUGUUCUUUGAUAUUCUCGAGAUUCUUUGAUAUUCUUUGAUAUUCCUUAACAUUUCUUCAAUUUGAUUGGGAUGAACAACCCUAUUUAUAGGGGACACAAGGUAUACCUGUCUGUGUGAUAGGAGUUGGAUGGGACGCCAUCACUUGUGUGUGUUGUGAUUACAAGAAGGUUAACAACCUUUAGUAGUGUCUAAUGUGGACACGCAACACCAAGUUCGUUGAUCAUGUAGAUCUCUCAGUCACUCCUUUAUUCAAAGGUGAUCUACCUUGAAAAUAUCUUGUUCCUCUGAAAUUUCCAAAGAUUGAUUCUUGGGAAAUGAAUUUUGCAAUUGUGAAAGUUGAUUCUCCAAUUUCUUUAAAGCUAAAGGUAUGCCAAGGCCGAUCAAGGGUGAAUGAUGAUACGUUAUUACGAAGCGUAUAGUGAAAUCUUAUAAAUGAUACGUUUUAGUUUUCUUCGCGGAUUCUGAGGACAGAAUCCUUAUAAGGGGGGUAGAAUGUAAUAUCCCAUGUUUUUAAAAUUAGUUGAUGAUUAUUAUAGAUCUAAUAUGUUGAUAUUAUUGUUGGCUUUAAUGGAAUAGUGAUAUGAUUAUGUGAAUAGUGUGAAUGUGAUUAUAUUUGUUAUUUGGAUUAAUAUGGAUUUUACAGAUUUUGCGUCCUCCUUCUUUUUCUGAUUCCGAGGACGGAAUCCCUAUAAGGAGGGUAGAUUGUAAUAACCCGGAUUUUAAAAAUAUUUUUAUUAAUAUUAUAAAUGAUUUUCUUAAAAAGAAAGGAAUAAGAUUUAAUAUUUUAUUCCAGUUUAAGGAGUUUUCAAAAUUUUAUAUUAAACCCCGGGUUAUUGUGUUAUUGAUAAAUGAUUAUAUUUUUAAAACUGAUUUUCAUAUAUUGUUUCGAAAAUUCUAGAUGAUUAUUAUGUGAAUAUAUGUGUGAUGUGAGUAAGUGGUAUUGGUGGAUUUGUUGGUUAAUUAAUUAUGGUUAAUUAUGAGUAUUAUAUGAUUAAUAUAUGAAUUUUUGUGAAUUUUAUAUUAUCUGGUUUAUUGCGUUAACUGCUCAUAUGUGUUCGUAUUUGAGAGAUUUCAAUUUCUAUAUGCUCAGGAGAAAAUAUAGUUUAUUUGGAUAUUUUCAUAUCGAUUUAUGGAAUGUUAGAUGAUUUUAUAAUCGAUUUACGGAUUUAAUUGCGUAUAUUUAUAUUUAUUUAUUAAUUAUUUGACUUCCGUAAAACCGUCCACUCGUAACGAGGUAGCAAAUUUUCUUCCCGGAAGUUUCAACAAAACUCACCUUUAGCCUAAUUUGAAUAUUCCGGACAUUUUUCGUGUUUUGACUUUUUCGAUCCGGAGUACGGUUUUCCCCGGAGUCGGUCCGGCGGAGUUUUUCGGGUAUUUUAAUUGUUGAUAAUUAUCCAGUUUGUCUCGAUAAGCGUGAAACGAGAUAUUUUGAUUAUUAUAUUCAUCCUUAUCUUGUAAUAAUUGCAAUGGGACCCGCAGACCAAUAAUUGAGUUAAAAAGCCCCGUUUUGAUGAUUAUCUCGAAAACCGGUACCGAUUGGACCCCGCUUUAUUAAUAUAAAGCUAUUAAAUACGUAUUUUCAUGUCAUAAACGAUCCAAAGGGGUACCAAUUAUUUGUAAAUAUAAAUAGACUUUCCUGUAACUUAUUUUCACCGUAGAAAUCAUUUCAACAGUUUCUCUGCACGAAUAUCGAGAGAAACCGAGCGGUGUUCUUCGUGUUCUUCAUAAUCAAACGAAGAUUUGAAGGUGUUAUUGGAAUCCGAUGGAGGCGUAUAAAUAGUCAAAACGAAGCUAUCGACGCGUAGAAUCAAGUUUAAUCAUCCGUUUAUAUGCAGAUUCAACAGGUGAUUUUAGAUUAUUUUUCUAAAAUUCGAGUUUAUAUGAUUUAAAUGAUGAAUUUUUGCAAACGAUUCCGUUUAUGUGAUUUGAUGAUUCUAUGAUGUAGAGCAUGUUUUUCUCGUCGUUUUGGUAUAUUAUAUGUCAAAAACGGAGUUCAAUAACAUGUAGAAAAGUCAGUUUGAUUAUUGAAAUUGUGUUCUUGGUGUUCUUGAGCUUGUUGCCGGAAAAGUUUGAAUUUUGGCCGGAAAAUGGGUUCCGCUAAAUCUGGGCAGUAGUGGUAUAUAUGAAUAGAAAGAGGAGAGAAAGGGGAGUAUGCUGGUGUGCUUGGUUUGAGCGGAGGUGGCUCGAAUCGCCGCCAUCGGCGGCGGGAAGUCGCCGACUUCGGCCGGAUUUUCCGGCGAAUUCGCGCGACUUCUGCCUAAUUAAAGAUGGGGGAUUGAUUUAUGGGUGUGUGUACUACUGAUCUGGAGUAGAUGGUGAGUGGAGGACGCCUGGAAACGAAUUUCCGGCGAGUUAGUGUGGUGGCCGGCGGCUUAUUGCUGUUUGGUCACCGAAGUUUUGAAGAUGAUGAAGUUUUUGUACUCAGGUUUUGAAACUUAUGAAUUACCCCCUGUAACUUUGAAAAGUUACACUUUAAACCCUGGACAAAACUUUCAAAAGUUUACAAAAUAAACCUUUUGAUUUAAUUUUCUAAAAUUGUUUUAUUUAAUUAUUUUAAAUUCCAAAAAUAGUUUUUAAUUAUUUCUUUAUUCAAAAAUAAAUCUAAAUUAGUUUAUUAAUUAAUUUUAAUUAGUAAUUAAUUAUUU
This 6893-nucleotide long non-coding RNA is filed under the name Daucus carota (carrot). RNAcentral's name for it is "long non-coding RNA (DCAR_LNC001079)". The record is from RNAcentral. Lineage: Eukaryota; Viridiplantae; Streptophyta; Magnoliopsida; Apiales; Apiaceae.